Molecule: transfer RNA, 77 nt
Filed under: Bacillota bacterium
Lineage: Bacteria; Bacillati; Bacillota
Also listed under: 2 other names
Description: tRNA-Ile
Rfam family: tRNA
About the family: Transfer RNA (tRNA) molecules are approximately 80 nucleotides in length. Their secondary structure includes four short double-helical elements and three loops (D, anti-codon, and T loops).
Source: RNAcentral
GGGCCCUUAGCUCAAUCGGUUAGAGCAUCCGGCUCAUAACCGGCAGGUUCUGGGUUCAAGUCCCGGAGGGCCCACCA